GGGGGCUGGAGCCAAUCCCAGCUGACAUCGGGCGAAAGGCGGGGUAAAGACAAAUAUACAAAGAGGAAGAAUCAAGAACCAUUCCUUUUCUGACAAUCUACAACUUCCCCCCAUUACUAGUCACUGGACUCCAAAGUGUUCUUGGAAAACAUUCCUAUUUUUGUCUCGGUAACAGAGGUGGAACAGACAUCUACAACAAAGAUGGCUGCUGGUGAAGGACUCUUUUGUUCUCUGCAUGAGGCCGAAGGACAACCAGGUGGGAAUGAUGAUCCUCUAUGAUAAGGGCUUUCACAUCAAGAUGAGCACCCAGGAGACCAGCGUCCAUCACGAAGUCACCACCGAGAACCUCUGCAGGCAGGCAUUUGUUCUUAUCAUUUUCACAUUUUGCUGUGAUGGCACAGCCACACAUUUGUGCUGACUGUAUUCCUACACAGAUUACUUGUGUGCUGUGCCACAAAUGUCACAUCGACAUUGUAAUAAGAAUACAUUUUAUUUACUUGGAGCCCUUUACCAGCAAGCCAUCAAAGAAGAGAACACAUCCAAGCAAAAAAUGCAUAGCCUGCAUUCGAACACACAAGAUAAUGGCAGAAUGACAUUACCUUCACACAGUCUCAGUUUCAGUCUUCAAUGGGGGAUAUGAGAUGUAUGAACUGCCCAUCUCUACAGUCAGAAGUGUGUGUUUGUGGCUUACAGGUUUAUCAAUUCUAUGAGCUACUAUAAUGCCAUUGGUUUAAGAACUACAGAGAUUUUUAUCACAAGCUUGUGGUAUGUACAAGUUUUGUGGUUGCAGUUUGUAAACACAACAUUCAACGUUGGCCCCUCCUACCCGGCUCAAUGACACAAGAAGUGCAUGCCCAAUGCUAUGUAUAUAUAUGUAUUGUAUUUAAAUACUGUAUAUCAUUUUGUCUGUCAGACAUUGGGUGUGUAGAUAGUGUUCAGUGGGUUUAUUAGAGCUUUUUGGAUAAAAAACAAAAAGAAUUAUUUAAUGAAAUGCUGUAAAAAAUAAA
Micropterus salmoides (largemouth bass) is the source of this 1007-nucleotide long non-coding RNA. RefSeq lists it as uncharacterized. The record is from RefSeq and is a predicted model, not a curated record. NCBI's taxonomy places the organism in Eukaryota, Metazoa, Chordata, Actinopteri, Centrarchiformes, Centrarchidae. The transcript is spliced from 3 exons.